CAAAGGUUUGGUCCUGGCCUUCCUAUUAGUUAUUGACAGAAUUACACAUGCAAGCCUCCACAUCCCGGUGAAGAUGCCCUCUAAAUCUAUUAAACGAUUAAAAGGAGCGGGCAUCAGGCACACUAAAUAAGUAGCCCAUAACGCCUUGCUCAACCACACCCCCACGGGAUACAGCAGUGAUAAAAAUUAAGCCAUGAACGAAAGUUUGACUAAGCCAUGUUAAUAUUAAGAGUUGGUAAAUUUCGUGCCAGCCACCGCGGUCAUACGAUUAACCCAAAUUAAUAGGCUCACGGCGUAAAACGUGCUAAGAAUUACAAAACACUAAAGUUAAAAUUUAACCAGGCCGUAAAAAGCUACUGUUAAUAUAAAAUAUACCACGAAAGUGACUUUAUCAUCUCCAACAACACGAUAGCUGGGACCCAAACUGGGAUUAGAUACCCCACUAUGCCCAGCCCUAAACACAAACAAUUUACACAACAAAAU
RNAcentral lists this ribosomal RNA (483 nucleotides) under Martes martes (European pine marten). RNAcentral's name for it is "partial 12S ribosomal RNA". Lineage: Eukaryota; Metazoa; Chordata; Mammalia; Carnivora; Mustelidae. The record is from RNAcentral.